ACUCCUACGGGAGGCAGCAGUGGGGAAUAUUGCACAAUGGGCGCAAGCCUGAUGCAGCCAUGCCGCGUGUAUGAAGAAGGCCUUCGGGUUGUAAAGUACUUUCAGCAGUGAGGAAGGCGGGUACGGUUAAUAGCGUGCUCGUUUGACGUUAGCUGCAGAAGAAGCACCGGCUAACUCCGUGCCAGCAGCCGCGGUAAUACGGAGGGUGCGAGCGUUAAUCGGAAUUACUGGGCGUAAAGCGCAUGCAGGUGGUUUGUUAAGUCAGAUGUGAAAGCCCGGGGCUCAACCUCGGAAUUGCAUUUGAAACUGGCAGACUAGAGUACUGUAGAGGGGGGUAGAAUUUCAGGUGUAGCGGUGAAAUGCGUAGAGAUCUGAAGGAAUACCGGUGGCGAAGGCGGCCCCCUGGACAGAUACUGACACUCAGAUGCGAAAAGCGUGGGGAGCAAACAGGAUUAGAUACCCUGGUAGGAUAGCG
Molecule: ribosomal RNA, 475 nt
Filed under: uncultured bacterium
Lineage: Bacteria
Description: bacterial SSU rRNA
Rfam family: Bacterial small subunit ribosomal RNA
Source: RNAcentral